RNAcentral lists this ribosomal RNA (341 nucleotides) under Seriola dumerili (greater amberjack). RNAcentral describes it as "partial 12S ribosomal RNA". It matches the Rfam family "Bacterial small subunit ribosomal RNA", at positions 875 to 1382 of the family's 1533-position model. Lineage: Eukaryota; Metazoa; Chordata; Actinopteri; Carangiformes; Carangidae. The record is from RNAcentral.
GGGAAUUACGAGCAUCAGUUUAAAACCCAAAGGACUUGGCGGUGCUUAACAUCCACCUAGAGGAGCCUGUUCUAGAACCGAUAACCCCCGUUCAACCUCACCCUCCCUUGCUUUUCCCGCCUAUAUACCACCGUCGUCAGCUUACCCUGUGAAGGCCUAAUAGUAAGCAGAAUUGGCAUAGCCCAAAACGUCAGGUCGAGGUGUAGUGCAUGAGAGGGGAAGAAAUGGGCUACAUUCGCUAGUAGUAGCGAAUACGAAUGUUGCAUUGAAAUAUGCGACUGAAGGAGGAUUUAGCAGUAAGCARAAAGCAGAGCGUCCCGCUGAAACUGGCCCUAAAGCGC